This 24-nucleotide microRNA is filed under the name Danio rerio (zebrafish). RNAcentral describes it as "Dre-Mir-27-P2a_5p* (star (passenger))". The record is from RNAcentral. Lineage: Eukaryota; Metazoa; Chordata; Actinopteri; Cypriniformes; Danionidae.
CAGAGCUUGGCUGAUUGGUGAACG